CGAUCUUCUGGGCGAAGGCCUCGAACGCGGCCGCCUGUUCGGCGGCCUUGCUGUCACCGAUCAUGUCGGUGAGACUGG
This 78-nucleotide transfer RNA is filed under the name Camelimonas fluminis. RNAcentral describes it as "tRNA-Asn". The record is from RNAcentral. Lineage: Bacteria; Pseudomonadati; Pseudomonadota; Alphaproteobacteria; Hyphomicrobiales; Chelatococcaceae.